This 497-nucleotide ribosomal RNA is filed under the name uncultured bacterium. Its description in RNAcentral is "partial 16S ribosomal RNA". It matches the Rfam family "Bacterial small subunit ribosomal RNA", at positions 28 to 507 of the family's 1533-position model. The record is from RNAcentral.
GAUGAACGCUGGCGGCGUGCCUAAUACAUGCAAGUCGAGCGAACAGACGAGGAGCUUGCUCCUCUGUCGUUAGCGGCGGACGGGUGAGUAACACGUGGAUAAUCUACCUAUAUGACUGGGAUCAUCUCGGGACACCGGAGCUAAUACCGGAUAAUAUCUUGCACCGCAUGGUUCAAUAGUGAAAGACGGUUUUGCUGUCACUUAUCGAUGGAUCCGCGCCGCAUUAGCUAGUUGGUAAGGUCACGGCCUACCACGGCGACGAUGCGUAACCGACCUGCGAGGGUGGUCGGCCACACUGGAACGGAGACACGGUCCAGGCUCCUACGGGAGGCAGCAGUAGGGAAUCUGCCGCAAUGGGGGGAAGCUUGGCGGAGCGACGCCACGUGAGUGAUGAAAAUCUUCGGAUCGUAAAACUCUGUUAUUAGGGAAAAACAAAUGUGUAAGUAACUAUGCACGUCUUGACGGUACCUAAUCAGAAAGCCACGGCUAACUACGUG